RNAcentral lists this ribosomal RNA (212 nucleotides) under uncultured bacterium. Its description in RNAcentral is "partial 16S ribosomal RNA". It matches the Rfam family "Bacterial small subunit ribosomal RNA", at positions 130 to 334 of the family's 1533-position model. The record is from RNAcentral.
UACAUAGUGGGGGAGUAACAGUCGGAAACGACUGCUAAUACCGCAUAGGACAUAGGAUCACAUGAUCCAGUGAGGAAAGGUGGCGCAAGCUAUCGCUAAGAGAUGGACCCGCGGUGCAUUAGCUAGUUGGUAGGGUAAAGGCCUACCAAGGCGAUGAUGCAUAGCCGACCUGAGAGGGUGAUCGGCCACAUUGGGACUGAGACACGGCCCAA